UAUUACCAGAAGCGACGGCAGGGUGAAGGCCAAGCUAAUGACUUUGCCUGACGAGCCGAGAGGUGGUGCAUGGCGAUCGUCAGUUCGUGGUGUGAACUAUCAGGUUAAGUCCUGUAACGAACGAGAUCCUCGUUGACAGUUGCUACUGUUCCAGAGAUGGAGCAGGCACUCUGUCGAGACCGCCUACGUUUAAGUAGGAGGAAGGAGAGGGCGACGGUACGUCAGUAUGCCCCGAAUCUCCAGGCGUACACGCGGCAUACAGAGGAUGGUACAAUGGGCGUNCGACACAGAGAUGUGAAGCAAUCCUAAACCAUCCAGUUCGAUGNGGGUGAAACUCGCCCUCAUGAAGUUGGAAUCCCUAGUAAAUCGCUUGUUCACCAUCGAGCGGUGAAUACGUCCCCU
Molecule: ribosomal RNA, 402 nt
Filed under: uncultured prokaryote
Description: bacterial SSU rRNA
Rfam family: Archaeal small subunit ribosomal RNA
Source: RNAcentral